GUGAAUCAUCGAAUCUUUGAACGCAAAUUGCGCCUUUUUCGGAAGGCAUGCCUGUUUGAGGGCACCGUUUAACAAAUAAUGUGCAGCGUUUUUUGUUGCACACGUUGAUGAGCUUUCCAAGAAUUUUAAAUUUUUGGUGGCGCAUAAUGAACAGCGUGAAAGUUUUUUUCAGUUCGAGUGUAGUAAAAUCUUUGCUUGGGUUGUGAAAAAAAAUAUCCGGGAAUUGGUUUGGGAAUUUCUUUUUAUUCCUUGCCCAAUUG
RNAcentral lists this unclassified non-coding RNA (260 nucleotides) under Paraglomerales sp. RNAcentral's name for it is "partial contains 5.8S ribosomal RNA and internal transcribed spacer 2". The stretch from base 1 to 65 matches the Rfam family "5.8S ribosomal RNA", at positions 84 to 154 of the family's 154-position model. The record is from RNAcentral. Lineage: Eukaryota; Fungi; Glomeromycota; Glomeromycetes; Paraglomerales.